UACGUAGGCAGCAAGCGUUGUUCGGAGUUACUGGGCGUAAAGAGUGCGUAGGUGGUUCUCUAAGUUCGGUGUGAAAUCUCCCGGCUCAACUGGGAGGGUGCGCCGAAAACUGGAGAGCUUGAGUGCGGGAGAGGAGAGCGGAAUUCCUGGUGUAGCGGUGAAAUGCGUAGAUAUCAGGAGGAACACCUGUGGUGCAGACGGCUCUCUGGACCGCCACUGACACUGAGGCACGAAAGCGUGGGGAGCAAACAGG
Molecule: ribosomal RNA, 253 nt
Filed under: uncultured bacterium
Lineage: Bacteria
Description: partial 16S ribosomal RNA
Rfam family: Bacterial small subunit ribosomal RNA
Source: RNAcentral